Molecule: transfer RNA, 67 nt
Filed under: Ogmocotyle ailuri
Lineage: Eukaryota; Metazoa; Platyhelminthes; Trematoda; Plagiorchiida; Notocotylidae
Description: tRNA-His
Source: RNAcentral
UCUUCUAUAGGUUAAGUGAAACUGUUAGCUUGUGGUGCUAAAGAUUGUUGAGAUAUGUGUAGGGGAA